RNAcentral lists this ribosomal RNA (394 nucleotides) under Listeria monocytogenes ATCC 19115. RNAcentral describes it as "partial 16S ribosomal RNA". It matches the Rfam family "Bacterial small subunit ribosomal RNA", at positions 912 to 1308 of the family's 1533-position model. The record is from RNAcentral. Lineage: Bacteria; Bacillati; Bacillota; Bacilli; Caryophanales; Listeriaceae.
GAGGGGGGCCCCCGGAAAGGGGGGGAGAAAGGGGUUGAAUGGGGGGCACGCGGAAAAACUUUCCAGGGUGUGGCAACCUUUGGCCACGCUGUGGCUACGUCUGUACGUAUGGGGACAAAGGGACAGGUGGUGCAUGGUUGUCGUCAGCCCGUGUCGUGAGAUGUUGGGUUAAGUCCCGCAACGAGCGCAACCCUUGAUUUUAGUUGCCAGCAUGUAGUUGGGCACUCUAAAGUGACUGCCGGUGCAAGCCGGGGGAAGGUGGGGAUGACGUCAAAUCAUCAUGCCCCUUAUGACCUGGGCUACACACGUGCUACACUGGAUAGUACAAAGGGUCGGGACGCCCGGAGGGGGGGUGUAACCUGGCACUUUUUACCCCCCUCCGAUCCCACGAGGG